Toxorhynchites rutilus septentrionalis is the source of this 931-nucleotide long non-coding RNA. RefSeq lists it as uncharacterized. NCBI's taxonomy places the organism in Eukaryota, Metazoa, Arthropoda, Insecta, Diptera, Culicidae. The record is from RefSeq and is a predicted model, not a curated record. The transcript is spliced from 3 exons.
AAAUUUUUAUUUCGCUUCUUUAUUCAGCUGCUGUGGAACAAGUUCAGUGAUAAAAGUUUCUGCAAAGGCGCACGAGGGCAUUAUGGAGCAUAUUGUCGUGGACUGUGGGUGAACGAUAAGCUCCCUUAUUUGAAAUUGCUACUAAAUGAGUUCGAUGAUGUCAAUCAAAUCUCCAACUGGUUCAUCAAGGGAUAAAUUUUGAGAGACUUUAUCGAGCUGAAUGUGAAGUUCACCCGGAACGCGAUCAACGAAGAGGUAGUCAAGGCUCGGCUCGAGGAAUUCAAGACCAAACUGUUCGGUUCGGUACUCGGUGGUCAAGAUGUUCCGCUGCCCAACGGGGCAGAUUUUGAGCAACUAUAUCGAGCUGAAUGUGAAGGUCAGAUUAUGUUAUUUUGAACAAAAAUAGCUCUCUCCUAAUAUUCUUAUUCAGUAUUCCACACAGUUCGACCUGACCCGGGACGCUAUCGACUACGGGGUGGUGGAGGCUCAGCUCGAGGAACUCAAGUACAAACUGUCCGAUCUGUGCCCAGUGAUCAAGAAUUCCCCUGUCCGACGCCGAAGCACCGGCACCGGCUCUUCGACACCCAGCGGUUGGCAUAUCAGAUUCGGUAUUCUUCGCUCAGGAUCCGCGUAUUAACAGCUGUGCGUUGAUACGAAAGGCGCUUGACAAGCUGCUCUGCUGCGGAUUAUGCUAAUCGCGUUUCUGAACAAGGAUCUGCGGAAGCAUAAAUGAGAUAGUGUUUGAAGGAAAACUACGAUGUUAUUUUAAUCGUAAAAAUUAUUACUGCAACAGUGAAAUACACACAGUCUUAGGAAUAAAUUCCAACUCAUUUUCAACGUCGUAAUCAAUUCAACAAGGAAAAUGAUGAAAACAGUUUUUCUGGAAUUUUAGUAGCAUCUUCAGUUGCAGACAGCGUUCAUUCUGACACAA